UACGUAGGGGGCAAGCGUUGUCCGGAAUUAUUGGGCGUAAAGCGCGUGUAGGCGGCUUCGUAAGUCCGUUGUGAAAGUCCAGGGCUCAACCCUGGAAUGCCGAUGGAUACUGCGGAGCUAGAGUCCGGAAGAGGCGAGUGGAAUUCCUGGUGUAGCGGUGAAAUGCGCAGAUAUCAGGAGGAACACCAAUGGCGAAGGCAGCGCGCUGGGACGGUACUGACGCUGAGACGCGAAAGCGUGGGGAGCAAACAGG
This 253-nucleotide ribosomal RNA is filed under the name uncultured bacterium. Its description in RNAcentral is "partial 16S ribosomal RNA". It matches the Rfam family "Bacterial small subunit ribosomal RNA", at positions 524 to 776 of the family's 1533-position model. The record is from RNAcentral.